RNAcentral lists this ribosomal RNA (281 nucleotides) under uncultured soil bacterium. RNAcentral's name for it is "partial 16S ribosomal RNA". It matches the Rfam family "Bacterial small subunit ribosomal RNA", at positions 26 to 301 of the family's 1533-position model. The record is from RNAcentral.
AGGAUGAACGCUGGCGGCGUGCUUAACACAUGCAAGUCGAACGAUGAAGGCUGGAGCUUGCUCUGGCUGGAUUAGUGGCGAACGGGUGAGUAACACGUGAGUAACCUGCCCCUGACUCUGGGAUAAGCGCUGGAAACGGCGUCUAAUACCGGAUACGAGCUUCCACCGCAUGGUGAGGAGCUGGAAAGAAUUUCGGUCUGGGAUGGACUCGCGGCCUAUCAGCUUGUUGGUGAGGUAAUGGCUCACCGAAGGCGACGACGGGUAGCCGGCCUGGAGAGGGU